This is a long non-coding RNA of Strigops habroptila (Kakapo), 364 nucleotides long. RefSeq lists it as uncharacterized. NCBI's taxonomy places the organism in Eukaryota, Metazoa, Chordata, Aves, Psittaciformes, Psittacidae. The record is from RefSeq and is a predicted model, not a curated record. The transcript has 3 exons.
UUUUUCAUUCUUUAAUGAUUACAAUAGGUAUCUUCAGAGUUUGUUGAAUGCUGCAUCAUUCCAUUCCUUGGGAACACGAAAGUUAUUCUUACCUGGUGGAUUUCUUCUUACACGACCACCCCCCCCCCAACUUCUUUUCUCGGAUGUGUGCGUGUCAUGCAUGGGAAGGUAUGAAGGAAAAACAGCUAUUCAGCAGAGACACAUCCCACCCCUUUAAUUAAGCUUUUCCUGGACUAUGUAAAAACACUGGCAAUGUGCAGUAGCUACCCUGCACUAGAAGGAAGAAAAGGCAUGGCUCAGAGCACGUGAUCUCACAGCCCUGCUCCCCUGGACAUGAAUGCCUGUGGGGUGCUCCAAAUGGGUG